GACUGGCUACUGAUGACUAAAUAUCUGAAUGAGGAAAUUCAGCAUUAGUGUGCCAGAUGAUGGUACAUUGGUGUGCACUUUUCUUCUAGUAAGACGUUGCGAUCCAUUAGAAAUGCAAUUUAAAUCUGUAUAUAGGCCCAAAUAGGAGUUUAUACAUUAAGCGAGUAACAUGACUUUGUUGUUAUGUGAAUGCGUGUAAACUAUUUGGUGUUCUUACAGAUGUCUGAUGGUAUAUUGACGAGUGUCACAUACAAUUCCAUUGUGAAUUGACAUUCUUUUAUUAAAAUGUAAAGUGUGUACAUUUUCACCAACGUUUUAUAUUUUUGAUACCCCCACGACCCCUCUUGAAACACGGACCCAAAAAUCUAAAUUGUGUGCGAGUCAAUGGGAUUUUUUAAACCCAUAUGCGAAAUGAGAUUAAAUUGUUAUAAACAAGGGAAUUAAAAAGGGAUAUUUUAUUUACUUUUUUUUCCCCCCCCGGGAUAUCUAAGUGUACUGUGUGUUUUUUGGUGUGUGUGACAAACAAAUAUAUCGCGAGCACAAACAGUGUGACCCCAAAAAGAGGGAAAUCUGUGCGAGAGCGGUUAAAACUCGGGAAACCCUGAGAUGAGAGACCAAAUUAUCUCAGACGUGUAUCUCGUGUGACAGAUGUGUAUAGGGGCGAGACACACAACUCAACCUCUCAAUACUGUUUUUCUUAAAAAAA
RNAcentral lists this ribosomal RNA (706 nucleotides) under Culicoides schultzei. RNAcentral describes it as "partial 28S ribosomal RNA". The record is from RNAcentral. Lineage: Eukaryota; Metazoa; Arthropoda; Insecta; Diptera; Ceratopogonidae.